Molecule: long non-coding RNA, 1044 nt
Filed under: Pogona vitticeps (central bearded dragon)
Lineage: Eukaryota; Metazoa; Chordata; Lepidosauria; Squamata; Agamidae
Description: lncRNA (ENSPVIG00000016126.1)
Source: RNAcentral
GACAAAAUAUCUUGGAGCCUUAAUUGAUUCAAUUUAAUGUCGUUUUGUUGAUAUGAAUGUCACUAUUUUAAUUUGUAUUUAUGUGGAUUUUGGGUGUUUGGGGCACCACCAUUUUUCCUCGAUAUAUAUAUUUUUUAAUUCUUAAAAGUUCUAUCAUUGUCUCACUUCAUCAGUACAUUCAGCAUUAUAACCACCUACCCUGUUCUCCCCAUUUGACCACUGAAAGAACCUGCAGAGCAGCAGAAGACCAGCAGGAGCAGAGCGAGAGCACCAGGAGACAAUUGUUGGUGCACCAGGAGCAAGGCCCUGCAAUGCAGCUGAUGAGCCCAUUUACCCAGAUGAUUCAGCCUGCCCAGCAGCUGAACAGCAUGGCCGCAGAUCUAUCUAUGUUCCAGCACUUACUGUUUUUGGAGAGGGAAGUAUUCCCCUCCUGUGUGAAAGCCAAGGGGGAAUGCCUCCGUGAAGAAGGUGCCUUCCAUCAGCAGAUGUGACAAGUAUUUAGAUCACAAUUAAUAAUUUUAGAAUGUAUUCUCUAAUUAAACAUGGCUGCCUUUUUGACUGUGUAAAUGGUUUUUAACAGACCUACAAAUUAAUUGAUUUAAGAUUCCAGUUUCCCACCUAGCCUAAAACAAGUGAUUGACUGGGCAGAGUAGUUCCAUUAUUAGCUGACCUCAAGACUUAGUGCAGCAUCUGAAGCCGCCAGCUGAAAUGAGGGUGGAGGGAUGGAAAUAACAGCUGAAUGACCUCGUGUCCCAUUCUUUCUUCUAGUCUUGUUCAUGGUCUGAACUGUUUUCCUUUCUACUGCUUGAAAUGGAAAAGAAAUCCUUUGAACCGGCUGCAUGUGUGGUCUAUGUAGUUCUCUGUUGAAGGCAUGGCCAGGGAUUGAGAGGGCUUUGGAUAUUGUGGGCCAAAGGUUUUUUCUGAUCCAUGCCCAUGGUCUUCCCAAAUAACUGAAGAAAACCCCUGUAGACAUUUCUUUCUGAGAUAUUGGAGAGACCUUAGAAAAGAUUCACAAUUUAAUAAAAUAAAAUGACCACUUACUCA